GACAGAGGAUGCAAGCGUUAUCCGGAAUUAUUGGGCGUAAAGCGCGCGCAGGUGGUUCCUUAAGUCUGAUGUGAAAGCCCCCGGCUCAACCGGGGAGGGUGGCUGCAAACUGGGCUUCUAGAGGGGGAUAGAGGAAAGUGGAAUUCCGGGUGUAGCGGUGAAAUGCGUAGAGAUCCGGAGGAACACCAGUGGCGAAGGCAGCAAACUGGGCAUUAUCUGACGCUGAGGCGCGAAAGCGUGGGUAGCAAACAGG
This 253-nucleotide ribosomal RNA is filed under the name uncultured bacterium. Its description in RNAcentral is "partial 16S ribosomal RNA". It matches the Rfam family "Bacterial small subunit ribosomal RNA", at positions 524 to 776 of the family's 1533-position model. The record is from RNAcentral.